UUUAGUAUGGUCAGGGCGUGAGUUGGGGUGGGCAGUCUAUGUGUGUUUUUCUAUGUUGGGGUUUUGAGUUCGGCCUAGUAUGGUUCUCAAUUAGAGGCAGCUGUCAAUUGUUGUCCCUGAUUGAGAAUCAUACUUAGGUAGCCUGGGUUUCACUUUUGGUUUGUGGGUGUUUGCUUCCUGUGUCAGUGCCACACGGGACUGUUUCGUUUCUAUCCACUUUGUUAUUUUGUAUUCUGUCGUGUUCAGUUUGUGGACACUUCUCACGCUGCGUAUUGGUCCGAUCCUUGCUACUCCUCUUCAGAUGAAGAGGAGGAAUGCCAUUACAUUUACUGGCACAUAUCUGACCUUGGAUGGACAAUAAAGUUCUAUUUAGUUCUAUUAUUUUCUAUUCUAUUGCUGCGAACCUAGGUUUGAUUUAUCAUAUCAUUUUGAUGGUCUGCCCUGCACUUUACAAAGCGUGGGGUGUGACUCCUUCCUGGGAGGGGCCAGGCUAGGUUGGUGCAGAUGGUAGUCCAGAGGGUUUACGUUACCCCUGGCAGAUCCCGCUCCAUAAAGGCAAAAGCAGCUGCUUCUCAAUAUCUUGCACACUAAUGAGAUGCUAUUGAGCCCACACUACUACACUGUCUGAGCCAAGGACAAUAUGCUUUCUGUGUGCGCUGGAAGUCGGGAAACAAGUUCAGGGAGUGAAUAAUUUAAUCAAUAAAUGAAACAUAAUACAAAGGAAGAAACACAAACAACGCAAAGACAUGAAACAGAAACAGUGACGCCUGGGGAAGGAACCAAAGGGAGUGACAUAUAAAGGGCAGGUAAUCAAGGAGGUGAUGGAGUCCAGGAAAAUACCACGGGCACUAUCUGAUGUGUAGAGACAUUUCACUGCAGCUAAUGUAGAAGGAAAAGCUGUGUACAUUUGCAAAUACUGUGCCAAAUAAUAUGUGAAGAAUGCAACAAAGAUGCAGAAUCAUCUGGCCAAGUGCAUAAAGUUCCCUCAGCGCUCACAACAAGCAACCUCUGACAAAUGUCCCUCUACUUCUAUUCGAGGUGAAAAUGAUGAAUCAGACACCUUAUCGAUAGCAACAGCUCAUGGUUCUACUGGAAUCAGACAUUUUUUUGACUCAAUGGAGGAACGUAUUCAGAGAAAUGCUGAUGAAUGUCUUGCUCGAGCUGUGUAUGCAACUGGUUCACCUUUGAUGCUCACAUGCAAUGUGUAUUGGAAGAAAUAUCUGAAUGUUCUUUGCCCUGUAUACACCCCUCCAACCAGACAUGGUUUAUCUACUAAUUUCCUGGAUGCAGAGUUCAUCAGAAUUCAAGCAAAAUAGAGAAAGCAGACUGUAUUGCAAUCAUCUCUGAUGGGUGGUCGAAUGUUCAUGGGCAAGGAAUAAUUAAGUACAUCAUCUCCACCCCUCAACUAGUAUUCUACAAUAGCACGGACACAAGGGACAACAUACACACCAGUCUCUACAUUGCAGAUGAGCUGAAGGCAGUUAUCAAUGACCUUGGACCACAGAAGAUAUUUGCACUGGUGACAGACAAUGCUGCGAACAUGAAGGCUGCUUGGUCUAAAGUGGAGGAGUCCUACUCUCACAUCACUCCCAUUGGCUGUGCUGCUCAUGCGUUGAAUCUGCUCCUCGAGGACAUCAUGGCACUGAUAACAAUGGAUACACUCUAAACUCUACAAGAGAGCCAAGGAAAUGGUUAGGUAUGUGAAGUGUCAUCAAGUUACAGCAGCAAUCUACCUCACCAAGCAAAGUGAGAAGAAUAAGAGCACCACAUUGAAGCUGCCCAGCAACAACUGUUGGGGUGUUGUUGUCAUCAUGUUUGACAGUCUCCUGGAGGGGAAGGAGUCUCUCUAAGAAAUGUCAAUAUCACAGUCUGCUGAUAUUGACAGCCCCAUCAAGAGGAUCCUCCAGGAUGAUGUAUUUUGGGAGAGCGUGUUAAGCAGCCUGAAACACCUGAAACCUAUACUGCCCUACUAAACAUUAACACAUUUUUUGCCUUUUUGCUUGGUAGGGCAGUAUAGCAGUAGCCCUUGCACGGAUUGAGGGAGACAAUGCCAUCCUGUCUGAUGUUCAGACUCUGCUUGCAGAUGUAAGAGAAGAAAUCCGUACUGCCCUGCCAUCUUCACUGUUGCUCCAAGCAGAGGAAACUGCAGUUCUGAAGUACAUCAAAAAGCGUGAAGACUUCUGUCUGAAGCCCACACACGCCGCAGCGUACAUGUUGGACCCCAAGUAUGCUGGCAAGAGCACCCUGUCUGGUUCAACAAGGCCUAUGGUGUCAUCAUUACCAUGUCUUGCCACCUUGGCCUGGAUGAGGGCAAGGUUCUUGGCAGUCUGGCGAAGUACACUUCCAAGCAAGGGCUUUGGGAUGGAGAUGCAAUAUGGUAGUCGUGCCAACAUAUCUCAUCAGCCACCUGGUGGAAGGGACUUUGUGGAUCUGAGGCUUUCCCCUGUUUUUCCCCUGUUGCUUCCAUCAUCUUCCAAAUCCCACAAACAUCAGCUGUUUCAGAGCGCAACUGGGCCUUGUUUGGGAACACACAGACCAAAGCACGCAACAGGACGACCAAUACAAGGGUUGAAAAAUUGGUGGCCAUCCGGGCAAAUUUUGGGCUUUUUUUAGCCUGACAACGAGCCAUCCUCAAUAAGGUUGGAAAGUGGCAGAGAAGAUGAGGCCUCAGAGUCUGAUAUUCAAGAGGUGGACAUUGAGGAGGUCCAGGGAGAAGACAUGGAAGCCUGAGAGUAAGACAACCAAAGCUUUAGUUUAUAGACUAUCAUUUUACAGAUGUACUGUAUGUUUAAUGCUAUGGAUCAUUGGGGAUCAUUUAGUAUUCCCUUUCUUUUGUUGUUCAGUGAAAUCCUCCCAUGUGAAGAGUCAACUCAUUUAAUUAAAUUUAAAUUUGUAACUAAAUAGUUUUUUACAUUUAUAUUGGAAGGAUUUAAUCAUUUAUGAUAAGGUAAAAGGUUUAUGUUUCUGUCUCCAUAUGAUAUGGUAAAUACAUCCAAUGGAAAAAAACAUCUACAUUUAAAUGGUAUGAAUAUUAAUUUGCAUAUAUUCCCGUUAAUUCCCAUAUAUUCCCGUUAAUUCCUACGGAAAGUUUCCAACCUCUGAAUAUUCCUCAAAAUGUGCAACCAUACCCUCAAUGAUUAUUUUCUGCAGCAAGUUUCUCUGCCUCUUCUCUGACAUUUGCCUUGGCUCUCCUUGGUGGCAACAUGUGCCCCAGUUAAGUUUCUAUCUUUUGUUAACUGAACAGACCCCCUCCACAGAGGGCUCUCUCUGUCUCCACUCUCCAGCCAUAUGGCAUUGCUUGACAAAGGACACAAACAUUUCUAAUUUAAUCCAGCCCUGCUGUGCUGUGAGUCGUGCUCCACCAGGCCAAUUCUCUGGAACUAAAGACAGCAUGCUGUGUUGUGGAGCUCUAGGGAGGGUCCCGUUGGGGCCUGGCUGGGCUGCAGCAUCCCAGAGAUGAGGGAGGGGAUGCCCAGUAUUGCCCACUCUAACCUUUGAUUAAAUGGCAGCCUACAUGAAACCAAUUUCCAUUUAUUGAUUUUUAUAAAGUUUUAUUGUUAAUGUUUUAUAUAUAUUUUUUCACACCAAAUACAAACAAACAGCAACUUACAGACGCACACACAUGACUACUUCUCAUCUGCCCAGACCCGCAGGCUCACACCCACAUCCCUAGUGCCUGCAUUAUUGUUUGCCACAUGGUCUGAAACCGCACCAUUUUGUUUCUCUUCGUUGUCCAAGCACUUUCCAUAUUUAAAUAAUAAAUAAUUUGAUUUUUCCAUUGUGUUAAUGAAUUAUUUGAUUUCCACAUUUUAUUACGCUUUUUUUCAAGAUGAGUGAUGAGAAGCGAAUCGCCUAACACAUCGGCUAUCUCAUUACACCCCCAUAUGACCAUUUAAUUCUGUUGUUCAGAGAGCAAUGGCUAUUUGCUUUAGGGGAUAGCUUUUUUAUUUUUUUUAUUUUAGGCAGGCUUGACAGUUGCCUGAAUAUGGACCCUGGACUGGAGCUCAAAAUGGAAGGGAUGGUCGUUAUAUAUAUAUAUAUAUA
This is a long non-coding RNA of Oncorhynchus tshawytscha (Chinook salmon), 4044 nucleotides long. The record is from Ensembl. NCBI's taxonomy places the organism in Eukaryota, Metazoa, Chordata, Actinopteri, Salmoniformes, Salmonidae.